RNAcentral lists this ribosomal RNA (468 nucleotides) under uncultured Sinobacteraceae bacterium. RNAcentral's name for it is "bacterial SSU rRNA". It matches the Rfam family "Bacterial small subunit ribosomal RNA", at positions 335 to 795 of the family's 1533-position model. The record is from RNAcentral. Lineage: Bacteria; Pseudomonadati; Pseudomonadota; Gammaproteobacteria; Nevskiales; Nevskiaceae.
UUUCCUACGGGUGGCAGCAGUGGGGAAUAUUGGACAAUGGGGGAAACCCUGAUCCAGCGACGCCGCGUGGGUGAAGAAGGCCUGCGGGUUGUAAAGCCCUUUCGGUAGGGACGAAAGCUCUCGACCUAACACGUCGGGAGGUUGACUUAACCUACAGAAGAAGCACCGGCUAACUCUGUGCCAGCAGCCGCGGUAAUACAGAGGGUGCGAGCGUUAAUCGGAAUUACUGGGCGUAAAGCGCACGUAGGCGGCUUGGUAUGUCGGGUGUGAAAUCCCCGGGCUCAACCUGGGAACUGCAUCCGAAACUGCCUUGCUCGAGUAUGGGAGAGGGAAGCGGAAUUUCCGGUGUAGCGGUGAAAUGCGUAGAUAUCGGAAGGAACAUCAGUGGCGAAGGCGGCUUCCUGGACCAAUACUGACGCUCAGGUGCGAAAGCGUGGGGAGCAAACAGGAUUAGAUACCCCAGUAGUC